Molecule: ribosomal RNA, 468 nt
Filed under: uncultured bacterium
Lineage: Bacteria
Description: bacterial SSU rRNA
Rfam family: Bacterial small subunit ribosomal RNA
Source: RNAcentral
ACACAUGCAAGUCGAACGGCAGCACGGGGGCAACCCUGGUGGCGAUGGUGAACGGGUGAGUAACACAUCGGAACGUGCCCAGUCGUGGGGGAUAACGUAGCGAAAGCUACGCUAAUACCGAUACGAACUCUGGUUUGAAAGCGGGGGACCUGCAAGGCCUCGCGCGAUUGGAGCGGGCGAUGGCCAGAUUAGGUAGUUGGUGGGGUCAAAGGCUCACCAAGCCGACGAUCUGUAGCUGGUCUGAGAGGACGAACAGCACACUGGGACUUGAGGACACGGGCCAGACUCCUACGGGAAGCAGCAGUGGGGAAUUUUGGAACAAUGGGCGCCAGCCUGAUCCAGCAUUCCGGUGCAGGAUGAAGGGCCUCGGGUUGUAAACUGGUUUUGGACGGGAACGAAAAAGCCCGUCUCUAAUACGGGGCGGUCAUGACGGGACCGGCAGAAUAAGCACCGGGUAAACUACAGUGC